Tupaia belangeri chinensis (Chinese tree shrew) is the source of this 864-nucleotide long non-coding RNA. RefSeq lists it as uncharacterized. NCBI's taxonomy places the organism in Eukaryota, Metazoa, Chordata, Mammalia, Scandentia, Tupaiidae. The record is from RefSeq and is a predicted model, not a curated record. The transcript is spliced from 4 exons.
GGGCCAGGAGGGCUGCUUGCCUGCCUGGGACAGCCUGUAGUCAGCAAAACUUUGCAUCCACAUCUGCGACCAUUUCUGACAGCUAGAUUGGGAGUUUAAAUUGUGCAACAUCUCAUGGGGACUUAAUACAGAACAGUUCCUUGAUUCAAAAUUGGACACUUCAUUUUAAGAAAGAUUGAGAUGGCUAAUACGACCUUCCCCGCCUUAGAGACGGUAUCAUAAAUUAAUCAAAGGUGCCAGUUUAAUGCGAUUUUUUAACUCUGAUAAAUGUAGGUGUCUUGGUGGUCCUUGAAAGUGGGAGAACAUAUCUGUCUGCUGCUUUUUCUGCUUGGAGACGCUGCCCGAGAAGGAUGGCAAGUUGGAUGGCAGGCGAUCUGGGGGCAGGCAGACAAUCUGACCUGCAUUCACAUUUUAGCAUUCACAUGCGUGAAUUCACUAGUCCAUUAGUUCACAGUUCCUGGCUAGAGGAUUGGGAGCGUGAAACAUACACUCUCUGUUACCCCUGAGGUUAAGUGGAAUCAACAAUAUUGAGGGGACGAAGAGACAUUGGAGCGACAUGUGCAAAGUGCUUAGUAUACGGAAACUGGAGACAUCGACAGAACCUGAGCAGUGUCCACUCCAACUGCUACCAUGACUGCUUUUUUGGUGGACUUUCCUCCUCCCUGCCUGAGACAUCAGGCCAUCAGAAUGACCCUCACAGUUCUGUGGUUAUACAGUGACUGUAGCAGCAACCAAGGUUGAGAAUCCCAGGAAAAUCCUGAAAGAGUGGGGAAGGAAGAGGGAGACUGUAAAGGCACGCACAUCCACCAGGAUUCCGACACAGGCUGAAUCGCACAGAAGCCCGUGGACCACACGUACUCUUAA